RNAcentral lists this long non-coding RNA (1016 nucleotides) under Panax ginseng (ginseng). RNAcentral describes it as "long non-coding RNA (PGIN_LNC008993)". The record is from RNAcentral. Lineage: Eukaryota; Viridiplantae; Streptophyta; Magnoliopsida; Apiales; Araliaceae.
GUGUCAUCUUUUGGCAUUGUCAGGCCCUUCGUGGUAGGUAAUUGUCAUCACUUAGACCUUGUCAGGCCCUUCGUGGUAGGCAAGUGUCAUCUUUUGGCAUUGUUAGGCCCUUCUGGUAGGCAAUUAUCGUCACUUAGACCUUGUCAGGCCCUUCGUGGUAGGCAAGUGUCAUCUUCUGGCAUUGUCAGGCCCUUCGUGGUAGGCAAGUGUCAUCCUUAUAUCUUGGUCCUUUUAUAAUUGUUUCACCCCGAGCGGUAAACAAGAUUUUGAUGGUGCAAGGACGAUCAGCCGAAUUCACUUCACACAUGACCGAUCUCACACUUCGGAAACGAUAAGUAUACAUUACUUUAUUUUGUUCAAGUGUUGAGUUCAAUUCAUUCAAUACUGUUCAUUAAAUUCUAUCUAUUAAAUUCAGUUCACUUCAUUUCAUAAAUUAACUGUUAUACACCUUAUCUAAUUCAUGUUCUAAGUUAAGUUCAUACAGAUUAAUUGAUACUGAAUUAUUGACAAGAAAUGUUCAUACAGAAGUAAUAAGGCAUGAAGUUGAUAUUUCAUUAAAUAUUAACUGUUUACAUAAAGUUAGAAUUUUCACAGAAAGUUCUACAGCUAGAGAUAAGGAGAGGUCAUCUUCAGGCUUCUUCCUUGUCAUCGUCACCAUCUAAAGAGUCUAGAAGAGAUGGAUCUACCUUGGCCCGAGCUUUUUCUUGCCUUUACUUCGGCAGAUUUCAUAUCCUUUCGCAUACAUAUGGACGAUCUUAUUGUUCAGCUCGGCGGAUUUUCUGUAUUCUGCCUGGAUAUCCCUACGAAAGUCUUCGGUCAGUGGCGGACUCAAAUUCUUAAGGGCCCGAAGCUCUUUGAGCUCUUCUUCGAGCUUCUGACGAUGUACCAGAUGCUUUGAUCCUUUAGCUUGACAGAUCAAUAUUUAUAUCAGUGAUGACUUGGUGAGUGGCCCGGGACGUUUUCAAAUCUUCUUUGGUUUGGGCAAGGUCUUUCUGAAGGCACUCAUUAUCGUGAAA